This 63-nucleotide transfer RNA is filed under the name Mordellidae sp. GENSP02. Its description in RNAcentral is "tRNA-Ala". Lineage: Eukaryota; Metazoa; Arthropoda; Insecta; Coleoptera; Mordellidae. The record is from RNAcentral.
AGGAUAAUAGUUUAAUAAAAACAUUUAAGUUGCAUUUAAAAAAUAUUGGAUCAAUUUAUCUUU